Molecule: ribosomal RNA, 541 nt
Filed under: Pseudovibrio ascidiaceicola
Lineage: Bacteria; Pseudomonadati; Pseudomonadota; Alphaproteobacteria; Hyphomicrobiales; Stappiaceae
Description: bacterial SSU rRNA
Rfam family: Bacterial small subunit ribosomal RNA
Source: RNAcentral
UAGUGGCAGACGGGUGAGUAACGCGUGGGAAGCUACCUUGUGGUAGGGGACAACAGUUGGAAACGACUGCUAAUACCCUAUGAGCCCUAUGGGGGAAAGAUUUAUCGCCAUGAGAUGUGCCCGCGUUAGAUUAGCUAGUUGGUAAGGUAAUGGCUUACCAAGGCGACGAUCUAUAGCUGGUCUGAGAGGAUGAUCAGCCACACUGGGACUGAGACACGGCCCAGACUCCUACGGGAGGCAGCAGUGGGGAAUAUUGGACAAUGGGGGCAACCCUGAUCCAGCCAUGCCGCGUGUGUGAUGACGGCCUUAGGGUUGUAAAGCACUUUCAGCAGUGAAGAUAAUGACAUUAACUGCAGAAGAAGCCCCGGCUAACUUCGUGCCAGCAGCCGCGGUAAUACGAAGGGGGCUAGCGUUGUUCGGAAUCACUGGGCGUAAAGAGUACGUAGGCGGACUGAUAAGUUAGGGGUGAAAUCCCAAGGCUCAACCUUGGAACUGCCUUUGAUACUGUCAGUCUUGAGAUCGAGAGAGGUGAGUGGAACUC